Molecule: ribosomal RNA, 253 nt
Filed under: uncultured bacterium
Lineage: Bacteria
Description: partial 16S ribosomal RNA
Rfam family: Bacterial small subunit ribosomal RNA
Source: RNAcentral
UACGAAGGACCCAAGCGUUAUCCGGAUUCAUUGGGCUUAAAGGGUGCGUAGGCGGGCCUAUAAGUCAGUGGUGAAAGCCCUUCGCUUAACGAAGGAAUUGCCAUUGAUACUGUAGGUCUUGAGUACAGUUGAGGUGGGCGGAAUGUGUCAUGUAGCGGUGAAAUGCUUAGAUAUGACACAGAACACCGAUUGCGAAGGCAGCUCGCUAAACUGUAACUGACGCUGAGGCACGAAAGCGUGGGGAGCGAACAGG